UACAGAGGGUGCUAGCGUUGUUCGGAAUUAUUGGGCGUAAAGCGCGCGCAGGCGGUCCUUUAAGUCUGAUGUGAAAGCCCACGGCUCAACCGUGGAGGGUCAUUGGAAACUGGGGGACUUGAGUGCAGGAGAGAAGAGUGGAAUUCCACGUGUAGCGGUGAAAUGCGUAGAGAUGUGGAGGAACACCGGUGGCGAAGGCGGCUCGCUGGGCAGUGGCUGACGCUGAGGCGCGACAGCGUGGGGAGCAAACAGG
Molecule: ribosomal RNA, 253 nt
Filed under: uncultured bacterium
Lineage: Bacteria
Description: partial 16S ribosomal RNA
Rfam family: Bacterial small subunit ribosomal RNA
Source: RNAcentral